RNAcentral lists this ribosomal RNA (497 nucleotides) under uncultured bacterium. Its description in RNAcentral is "partial 16S ribosomal RNA". It matches the Rfam family "Bacterial small subunit ribosomal RNA", at positions 28 to 507 of the family's 1533-position model. The record is from RNAcentral.
GAUGAACGCUGGCGGCGUGCCUAAUACAUGCCAGUCGAGCGAACGGACGAGAAGCUUGCUUCUCUGAUGUUAGCGGCGGACGGGUGAGUAACACGUGGAUAACCUACCUAUAAGACUGGGAUAACUUCGGGAAACCGGAGCUAAUACCGGAUGAUAUUUUGAACCGCAUGGUUCAAAAGUGAAAGACGGUCUUGCUGUCACUUAUAGAUGGAUCCGCGCUGCAUUAGCUAGUUGGUAAGGUAACGGCUUACCAAGGCAACGAUGCAUAGCCGACCUGAGAGGGUGAUUCGCCACCACUGAACUGAAACACGGGCCCGACUCCCAAGGGAGGCAGCAGGAGGGAAUCUUCCGCAAUGGGCGAAAGCCUGACGGAGCAACGCCGCGUGAGUGAUGAAGGUCUUCGGAUCGUAAAACUCUGUUAUUAGGGAAGAACAUAUGUGUAAGUAACUGUGCACAUCUUGACGGUACCUAAUCAGAAAGCCACGGCUAACUACGUG